CAUUCUCCCAGAGUCUGUGUGGUUUGACUCUGUGCCUACUUGGCCCCCACCCCCAAAGGGAACAAUAGCAAAGGACCCUGCUGCAUCUGGUGCCGAAAACCAGGACAUUUGGUACUUGAACGGGGUCUGUCUCCCUUUAUGCUGGUUGAGAAGCCCCCUUGAGCGGUAUAUUUCGAAUACCACCACACUGAUAUGGAUACCCUCCAGAGAUGUGCGUCUGGCAACAGACCAAGAGACUUUGGCCAAAGAAGCUUCAGAGGGGUAAUGUAUGAUUUGCCCUGCUGCCGUGGCAUUAGUGAAGAUCAUUUCAUCGCUGGCAUGUGACCCUAGAUAUUAAGCAAUUGCCUCACCCCCUACAAGGUCGAUUAUACAUCACCAGAAGGACUUCGAUUGGUGCAAUAAAAAUGACUGGGGUUCCAUCCAUGUCCUUGAGAUUGAAAUUUUUGACUAAUCCUCUCUUGUUCAGAUAUCUUCUGCAACAGGUUCACCAACAGAAGGCGGCCACAAAGGCGACCCUACAGGUUUUAUUGGCUCUCAGAUACCUCGAUCAAAGUCCUCCUGGAGAGAUAAUGCACAUAUGGCUCACUGAGAUACAGAAGGCUACUUCCUAAAGCCCACCACCCAGACAGCUCUCCAGGAUUGAUGUUCUUUCAGGGCUGGUAGUCAAUGAUGGAUACGAGCUUGUUUGGCAAGACAAUCUAAGAUAGGCACAGUCCAUUAUGCUGAGCUCUCCUGAGGUGGGGUCAACAAGGUUAGGGCAAUGCACCCUGGCUCCCACUGAGCAUGUCCUAUAAAAUAAUAAAAAGGGCCCAAACAAGUAAAAAAGAUACUUUCUGAGAGCCAGUAUGGGUCUGCCUGAUGGUCUUAGCAACAGCCCCUGAAACAUGAUCUGGAAAUGACCUUGACCAAUGAGAGACAGCCAAGUCACACCAACAGAUGCAUAUUCAUCAGACCUCUCCCCAGGGUGGGGUGGAGGGUAUAUAAGGCUUGCUUCUUCCUGAAUAAACUGAGCUUGUUGUUUCAACCUUC
Peromyscus californicus insignis is the source of this 1029-nucleotide long non-coding RNA. RefSeq lists it as uncharacterized. The record is from RefSeq and is a predicted model, not a curated record. The transcript has 2 exons. NCBI's taxonomy places the organism in Eukaryota, Metazoa, Chordata, Mammalia, Rodentia, Cricetidae.